RNAcentral lists this ribosomal RNA (520 nucleotides) under uncultured Glomus. RNAcentral's name for it is "SSU rRNA". It matches the Rfam family "Eukaryotic small subunit ribosomal RNA", at positions 569 to 1091 of the family's 1831-position model. Lineage: Eukaryota; Fungi; Glomeromycota; Glomeromycetes; Glomerales; Glomeraceae. The record is from RNAcentral.
AGCAGCCGCGGUAAUCCCAGCUCCAAUAGCGUAUAUUAAAGUUGUUGCAGUUAAAAAGCUCGUAGUUGAAUUUCGGGGUCAUCAGGUUGGUCGUGCCACUGGUAUGCACUGGCUUUGCUGAUUCCUCCUUCUUGAAGAACUGUAAUGCUAUUAAUUUAGUGUUGCAGGGAAACAGGACUGUUACUUUGAAAAAAUUAGAGUGUUUAAAGCAGGCUAACGCUUGAAUACAUUAGCAUGGAAUAAUGAAAUAGGACGUUUGAUCCUAUUUUGUUGGUUUCUAGGAUUGACGUAAUGAUUAAUAGGGAUAGUUGGGGGCAUUAGUAUUCAAUUGUCAGAGGUGAAAUUCUUGGAUUUAUUGAAGACUAACUACUGCGAAAGCAUUUGCCAAGGAUGUUUUCAUUAAUCAAGAACGAAAGUUAGGGGAUCGAAGACGAUCAGAUACCGUCGUAGUCUUAACCAUAAACUAUGCCGACUAGGGAUCGGAUGAUGUUAAUUUUUAAUGACUCAUUCGGCGCCUUAA